This 741-nucleotide long non-coding RNA is filed under the name Pongo abelii (Sumatran orangutan). Its description in RNAcentral is "lincRNA". The record is from RNAcentral. Lineage: Eukaryota; Metazoa; Chordata; Mammalia; Primates; Hominidae.
UGAGCAGGCUCUCUUCCAUCUGCCCACCAACUUUUCAAAUUACUUUUACCCAUCUUCAAAAUUACAUCUGCUUUUAGCAAGAAUUACCGACGUGAUAAAGAUGGGAGUGUUCACUAUGCAAGGGCAGGGUGUCCCCUGCUGCUCCAGCAUCAGAUUUGGGACACCACCACCCCCGCCCCACCAGAGGGCAUCACCUAUGCCUAGCAAUUACGCCCCCGUGGCUAAAUUAAACUCCCAUUGGCUAAAUUAGGCCCGAAGAGAGGGGCAGCUGCUGCUAAGCUGUGUAUGUUGUCCCCCUAGGACUUCCACCGUUUGCUGAGCUCCACAUGACAACAGCAGACCACAGGCCGCACUGAUCCCACCUGGCUUACAGGUGCUGUCACACAGGCUCCCUUGCUCCUUCAUUCAACCAUUGUUUACAUUUCGUUCAGGACUGCUGACUAAACACUUUCAAGCACAGCGGACCCUUGAACAACGCAGGUUCAGACUGUACAGGUCCAUCCACAGGGAUGUUUUUCAAUCAGUUACACCAAGUGUCCCUGCCUCUCCUGCCUCCCUUCCCACCUCCUCCAUGUCUUCCUCUCUGUCACCCUGAGGCAGCAAGACCAGCCCCUCCUCCUCAGCCACUCAACGUGAAGACAACGAGGAUGAAGACUUCUAUGAUAAUCCACUUCCACUUAGUAAAUACUUUCUCUUAUGAUAUUCUUAAUGACAUUUUAUUUUCCCUACCUUAGUUUAUUC